RNAcentral lists this unclassified non-coding RNA (1829 nucleotides) under Hevea brasiliensis (rubber tree). Lineage: Eukaryota; Viridiplantae; Streptophyta; Magnoliopsida; Malpighiales; Euphorbiaceae. The record is from RNAcentral.
GUAAUCGAACUACUUCAAUAUUACGCUUUUAUUUUAUAUUUUUUCAAUGUGAAACUACACACACAAUUAAAGUAAUUAUUUCAUAUUUCUAUGAACAUGAGAGUACUUUGAAACUAGGAAGUUCUUAUUAACGAGAAACAAAGUUCAACCACACACAAUUUAUUAUCGAACAAUAUUGCCAAAUUUCAGGCCCUGGUCUUGCCCAAAGCCAUGGACUUUGAUCACUUCACCUCAGAAGAGAACAGCUUUUAGCCUUCUGCACAACUCCUUCCUGCACAUAUGCAAAAAUUAUUUGAUAACAUCAAUUUCAUCUAGAGUCCUUGUUAAGGGAAGUUUGUUUUAGUUACCUGGUGAGUACUCUGUCGAGGCCUGAAGCGGAUAAUAGUCCCCUAUUUUCUUCAGCCCUCCUCAGAAGGUAUGGCAUUACAAUCUCAACGUGUCCAAAUGGCAAAUACUUGCUAACUUGAAAACCUGCAUUUCUUAAACCGAAAGAAAGUGCUUCUGCCAUUCCAUAAAGCUGUGCAAACUCGAGCUUUUUGUUCCAAUAUGCAAUUCCCAAAUCCUCUGCUUUUUUCGCAGCCAGACGCCCUGACUCUACAUUAUGGGUUGCAAGAAUGACUCCAUGCGAGCCAUUAGUGAUCGCCUCGAGCAGGAAAGAAGCACAGUCAUUGUAGCAAGAAUGUGUCUGCUGAAUGUUAUUAUGAAUGGGAGAUUGAUACCCUAGGGAAGAGGCUAAUUUUCUUUCAGUUGACAUAUAAGCACCCCUCACCAGCUUGAAUCCCAUAGAAACUCUCAUCUUGUCUGCAGCUUUAGUUGCUAGUAACAAUCUCUCUUUUGCAUCUUUCAAGUAGGCUUGAAUUGUUCCAUACACAAUAGGUUUAUCAUCUUUGUUGUACUUAAUUGCUGAUGAAUAUGUCAAGUAAUCUAUGGCAGGUUGAACUGUCGAAUGCUCUGCAUCGAUUACUAAUGGAACAUUGGCUUCCACACAUGCUUGACAUAGUUUCAAUAGCCUUUGCUGCCCUAAGAGAAGAUGUUUCUCCUCUUCUGGGGUUAAUGAUUCUGGUUUUUUGACUGUGUGAUAUAAAGGGCCAGAAUCAGAAAAAAUUGGAAGUGUAUUCUGUUUCCAUGGAAGAUUGAAAGAGGGGUGUUUUUGUUGCCACCUUAGUAAAUCACUAACUCGUUCAAGCAAGUUGAGAGGGCAAAUUGCUGUGAUCUUGACAACCACUGAGCUCACAGUGGAUGGAGGGAGAGACUUGGCAGCUUCAACGGUGCUGAGAAACCCAUGAAAAUUUCGAUCACAGACAUCGUUAUCACUUGCAAACUCCACGGCAAAAUCAAGCAUCCCUCUUAAGCCGGACUCAUUGAGUCUCUUCAAACAGUUGGCUGCUUCCACAGUAUCCUCUCCAGCACAAAAAUGUUCAUAAAAACUAUGCCUUAUGGCCCUCAAUAUAAGAUCACGUAUAAUAUUAUCCAUACCCAUGAGCCUAGAAUUCAUAACCCAGAUGCCGAAAUCAACCAGCGGCUCCAUGGCAGCCAUGUGAAGAAUAAGAGAAGCAUGCAAGAGUUUUAGAGUGGGCAAGGGGGCAAACAGUUUUUGGUGAUCCUGGAGGUCGAGGAUAGAUGGUGGUGAUUUUGGAAGGGUAGCUGUGGGUAGGGGGUUUUGAGUCAAGUUGAGGGAAGGGAUGGAGGAGAUGGGGGAGGAGGAGGCUGAGGAGGAGGUGGUGGAGGAGGAGGUGACGAGUGGUCUGGUGAAGAAGCGGAGGUUCUUGAGCAGUUUUGAAGAAAGGACUUUGGCGGCCAUCCGUCUUUCGGAACCGGGGUUUUUUUUU